AGCGGGGUAGGAAGCUUGCUUUCUGCCGCCGGCGACCGGCGCACGGGUGAGUAACACGUAUGCAACCUGGCCGUGACAGAUGGAUAACCGGGAGAAAUCCCGCCUAAUACAACAUAAUGCCGGGAGGGGACAUCCCCUGCCGGCCAAAGGGGGCGACCCCGGUCAUGGAUGGGCAUGCGGCGCAUUAGGUAGUUGGUGGGGCAACGGCCCACCAAGCCGACGAUGCGUAGGGGUUCUGAGAGGAAGGUCCCCCACAUUGGAACUGAGACACGGUCCAAACUCCUACGGGAGGCAGCAGUGAGGAAUAUUGGUCAAUGGCCGGAAGGCUGAACCAGCCAAGUCGCGUGAGGGAAUAAGGCCCUACGGGUCGUAAACCUCUUUUGCCAGGGAGCAAUGCCGUCCACGUGUGGACGGAAGGAGAGUACCUGGAGAAAAAGCAUCGGCUAACUCC
RNAcentral lists this ribosomal RNA (451 nucleotides) under uncultured Bacteroidales bacterium. Its description in RNAcentral is "bacterial SSU rRNA". It matches the Rfam family "Bacterial small subunit ribosomal RNA", at positions 65 to 504 of the family's 1533-position model. The record is from RNAcentral. Lineage: Bacteria; Pseudomonadati; Bacteroidota; Bacteroidia; Bacteroidales.